UGACCAUGAUCAUUAAUGAAACUUUAAGAUUAUAUGGUCCAGCAAAUGGCCUAAUGAGAAAAGUUGGAAGAGAAGUUCAGAUUGGAAAGCUAGUGUUACCUGCUAAUAUAGAUCUUUAUAUUGUAAAUGUUGUACCUCAACAUGACCCUCAACUAUGGGGAGACGAUGUGCAUCUUUUUAAACCAGAGAGGUUCGCAGAAGGAAUUGCCAAAGCUACCAAUUACAAUGCAGCUGCAUUUUGUCCCUUUGGAAUUGGACCUCGGUCUUGUGUUGGUAUGAGCUUUGCAACCAUGGAAACAAAGAUUGCGCUCUCCAUGAUUCUUCAACGCUAUACCAUUUCCCUCUCCCCUGCUUAUGUCCACUCACCAAUAUCUGUUGUCACCAUUCAACCAGAACAUGGAAUUCAAGUAAUACUCAAGUCACUGCACAGCAAUGUUUAAUGUACAUGGUUGCUAUGAAUUCAGGGUUUAACCUUGCUGGUUUAGGAUUUCUUGUUUAAGAGAUUGCAUUUAAUAUGUUAAUUAAAUGCUUACUUUACAAUUUCGUGUGUUACAAAUCACCUACUUAAAUUGUCUACGCUGUAUCUUUUUAUCUAGAAAAAAAAAUCUCCCCCAACAAGAUGCUUUGCAUACCGAAUGGUGAGAACGAUGUAGAAGAUUCAAGAAAUAAGUCAUUAAAAAAUCGCGGAAAGGACUAAAUUGAAAUCGCGGAAAAAUCGUGGGGUAAAAUUAAAAAAAUAAAAGUACUUGGUUGUAAAGCCAUUAAAAAGCAGAAGGGCUAAAGGUACAAUUAAUCCUCCAACAAAACGGUCGGAUCCUUGGCGGUUCGGUCGGGUCGAUCCGAUCUAGGUCAAAACGACGUCGUUUUGGGCGUUUUGGAGCUGGGCCAAAACGGCGCCGUUUUAUGCGCCUAUAUAAGCCAAGUUUUUUUUUUUUAAUUUCAUUUUCCCUUUCUUUAAAAAAAAAAUUCAAAAACACUCUCCCCUUUCCUCUCUUCCCCAGAAAUCGGCAAGCCUUCGGCAAGGGCUCCGUCCAUCGGCCACCGACCGACAGCCGGGGCUGCCGUACACGGCGGCGGGGAGCCAAAAAAUUUUAUUUUUUUUUCGAUGCACUGCCUUGGCUACCUUGAGCAACCACCGAUGAAAGUAAAAAAAAAUCUUUCCUUUUUCUUUUAUUUAAUAUUUCGAAAUAAUAAUAAUAAAAAUAAACGAAAACAAAAAUAAAAAAAGGCACCUUUAGUUUUUUUUUUUUUUGAAUCUCUUUUUCUAUUUCUCCAAAAAAAGAACCCCCUUUUACAAUGUUCGAAUGACUUUAUAUAUAGUCAUUUUACAAUUUUUGGUUCUAUUUAUUUUUGCUGUCCUUUCUUUCUGAUUUUGCAGGUGCAAGUGGCGGAACAGUUGGGCGGUGCAGGUGGCGGCAGCAGGCCUAGGGCGUUAGGGACGUGCGGCGCCUGAGCUAGGAGGCAGAAGACCCUAGGUGCGGCGCACCUAGAGUUUUGUUUAUUUUUUGUUUUUUCUGUCAUGUGGGCUGCUAGGGUUUAGGGUAUUGGGCCUGCUGUAAUUUGGGCUCUUUUAUUUUUGGUCUGAUUUGGGGUUUGGGUUUUAAUUAAUUUGUUUGAAUCUUAUUGGACCCCGGGCAAAAUUUGGGUCUUACAAUAUUAAUUAAAUGCUUACUUUACAAUUUCGUGUUUUACAAAUCACAUACUUAAAUUGUCUAUGUUGUAUCGUUUUAUUAAAAAAAAAAAAAACUCUCCCACAACAAGAUGUUAUGCAUACCGAAUGGUGAGAACGAUGUAGAGGAUUCAAGAAAAGGGUAAAUUUUGGGUACACAAAUGAUAAUGUUGGCACUAGAGGUGUCCAUGGGCCGGGCUCGGGCCGGGCCCAACAAAAAAUUUCAGCCCGCUUCCUAGGCUCGGGCCCGGCCCGGCCCGAAAUAUGGGCCUGAGAUUUUGCCCAGGCCCGGCCCGGGAAAAAAAUAUGGAACCCGAGCCCGGCCCGGCCCGCUUUUUAAUUAAAAUUAAAAUUAUAUUUUUAUUAAAAUUAAAACUAAUUGUUAUUAAAAUUAAUUGUUAUCAAAAUUAAUUAUUAUUAAAAUUGUAUCAAAUUAUAUAUUUUUUGUACCAAUCAACAUUUUGUAAAAUCUAACAUUUUGUUAGUAAAAUUAUUAAUUGUAUUAAUUGUUACUAAAAUUAUCAAAUUAUAUCAAAUUAUUAAUUAUUAAUUGUUACUAACAUUUUGUUAGUAAAAUUAUUAAUUGUUAAUUGUAUUAAUUAUUAGUAAAAUUAUCAAAUUACAUCAAAUUAUUAAUUGUUAAUUGUAUUAAUUGUUGUAACAAAAUCUAAAAUUUUGUAACUUAAAAUAAAACUAAAACUAGUAUAUUUUAAAAAUAAAAAAUAUAUAUUUAAUAUAUUUUCGGGCCGGGCCCGGGCCAAAAAAAUCUUGCCCGAGGCCCGGCCCGUUUUCUAAACGGGCCUCGUUUUUUGCCCAAGCCCAUACUUCGGGCCUAUAUUUUUACCCAAACCCUCCCAUAUUUCGGGCGGAGAUACAACCCAAUGCCAUCAAUAUUUUCCCAACCAUUGAUUUUGAUGCGUGAGUUUUGUAAAUCAUUCCAUUCCUUCAACCACAACAUAGAAUUCAAGUAAUACUUGAGCCGCUGCAUAGCUGUUAAGAACUAGGGGUUUAACAUAGCUGGUUCGAGUAUUCACUUGUAAGAGAUGACAUUUAGCAUGUCUAAGGUGUUACAAACUUAAGAAAAAGAAAAAGGAAUGAAUUUCUUCGUAAAAGAAAAAAUAUUACUGCUUAAUUUUCAAACUUUGUUUUUGGAAUUUUGGAUUACCCAAUCCAAGUUCAAUGUAAACCUUAUGCAUAAAAAAUACAAUAUAUAAUUGGUCACACCAACACAACGAUCCAAAAAAACACUCACAUAUUUUAAUAAUAAUUAUAUUUAUCUAAAUAAUCAUAUCUCUUAAUUAUUAAUCAAUAGAUACAAUUAUACUUGUUUUAAUAAUUAAAAAAAAAAUAACUUUUCACCAAUAACUGGUCAGCUAUAAUUUGGAACGUUUCCAUUUGGUCAAAUUUCGUAAUUAAACUAAUUUGCUGAAGUGAACAAAGCGUUAUAGGCAGUGAUGUUUGUUAAGUUCUAAUAUAAUAUAAAUUUAUGUAAUAAUAUUCAUACAAAAUAUAAUUAAAAUAAUAUUUAUUCUAUGAAAUUAAUUUUAAAUAUUUUAAGAAAAAUUUAAAAGUUGAAUUCAAAGUAGAAAUAAAUAUAUAAAAAUAAUUUAAGAAAAAUUUGAAGUCAAAUUCAAAAUAUAAUAAUAUAAACAAUAAAAAUAUAAUCUUUCUAUUUAAAAUUUCUAAAGUCAAUUUAGUCUUAGUCAUCCUCAUUCUAUGUUUUCUUUUUUUAUUGUUAGUGUCAGUUUUUCUAUCUAACUCCGUAAAUAUAUUAUUGCAAGACUUGCAUUGUCUUGUACCAUUCGAGAUAACAUGCAGCACUUGAUGAAAGUCAUUUCCAAAAAAAUUUUAUACUAAGUGGUAGAAAGAGUCAAAAUUGGUUGCUCAUUCUUUCAAUAAAUCCCUUAUUCAUAGGUCUAAUUAACUUUUGUAACUUCAAAGAACAUCAGCAUUAGCCAUUAUUUUAUUAUAAGGCCAACACUAGUCUUAAUUUUUUCUAUUUUCAAAUAAUACUUGAAUUCCCCAUCUCACGUUAUGUUAUUGACAAAAAUAUUUUAAAAGUUUUUAAGUCCAAAACUUAGUUUGAAUUACAAUUGUCGAAAUCUUUUUUUUUAAAAAAAUGGGGUCGACUUGGAUUUUGAAAACGAAACGAAUAUAGAAGUCGCCAUCAAUCUUUUUUGAUGAUGUGUGAUCGGGUCACCUCGUAAAGUGGUUGUUUUUAAUAAAUGGUUUAGAUUUAUUAAAACAAUGUUUUUGGUCUGCGAGAUUCAAAAAAAUGGGUUCGGGAGUCGGUCACGUACAAGGAAGGAUUAGCACCCUCAUAACGCCCAAAAUUGGUACCUAGUUGAUUAAUUAGUGUCUUAGUGUCGAAAAUUGAAAACUUUAAAGAGAUUUAAAAUCCGAUCAUUUGCUAAAAUAUUGAAAAUUUUCAAGAAAGAGCAUAUUUCACGUUAAUCAAGAAAGAGAAUUAUGUCCCGUAAGGUAGGAUACAAUGUCUUAAAUUCCCGAUACGAGAAUAAAUACCGAAAAAUUCACUUAUUUGAAAGAUAUUCGAUUAUCUCGGUUUUAAAAAAAGAUCAUAUUCCGUAAGUUAGAACACGAUCUUUUAUUAAUUCCCGAGAUUAUUAAAAAUUUAUGCUUAAAAAGGUUCGUGUAUUUGGAUUUGUCGAGAAAAUCGAAACCCCGUAAGUUAGGGCACGACCUUUUCGAAUCUCAAAAUACGAAGUUUUACUUAUUUUAAAGUCAUAAUUUAUGUAUCGAGUAAAAUUAAUGUAACACGAAUUGGUAGAAAUAAAGUACGGUGUUAAUAUGUAUAACGAAAAAUAAUAAAUGCGAUAAAAUAAAUAUAAAUAAUAUGAGUGAAAACAAAAAUAAGAUAAAUAAAUAAAUAAAUAAGGACAAAUCAAUUAUGUAUAUACAAUAACAAGUAAAUAAAAAAUAAAACAUUUUUAAAGAAUAAUAAUGGACACAUAAAUAAAUAAGUAAAUUAAUUUAAUAAUAAUAGUAAUAAAAUAAAAAUAUAGAAACAAAAAAAGUACAAAAAAAUAAAGAUAGUUUUAAACACUAAAGUACCAAUAAAUAGUAACUAUGUAUUUAAAAAAAAUAGUAAAAAUAUGAAAGUAAAAUAAAACAAAAUCUAUAUAAAGAAAAUAAUAAUAGCAUAAUAAUAUUACAUUAAUUAAUUUAAUAAAGAAAUAGCCAAAAUAACAAAAAGGACUAAAUUGAGCUUUAAAACAAAAUUUUGGGGCAAAUCAGAAAUAAAUAAAAGGAUAAGGGCUAAAUUGGAUGAUCAAAUAACAAGGAGGGACCAAAUGGGAAAUAUUCCCUAUCCUCCAAAACGCGCAGUUCCAAUAUGGACUAAAAUGAAACAGGUGCAAAAAUUACGGGGUAAAAUUAAAAGAAAAAAGGCAAAGAGGACUAAAUUAAAACAACCCAAAAAUGCCGAAGGACCAAAAGAGUAAAUAACCCUUUUUACACAAAAACACGCGGAUCCUCCUGGAUCGGGUCGGGUCACGCGCGGGUUGGCCCCAAAACGAUGUCGUUUUGGCGGCUGAAGCUAUGGCCCAAAACGGCGCCGUUUUACAUGCCUAUAUAAAUCAAUUUUUUUAAAAAAAAAACUUCAUUUUUGCCUUCUCUUAAAAAAAAACUAAAAUCUCUUCUCUCUUUUUUUCAAAAUCCUCUUCACCCUUCCCAGAAUCCGGCCAUCGGCCGCUGCGCCCACCGCCGGCCACCGGCGACGGUGCCACCAUACAUGAUGGCCGGAAGUCCAAAAGGUACGCUUUUUUAUAUAUUUUUUUUGCUAUAUAUACAUAUAUAUAGUUUUUUUUUUUAAAAAACAAAACAAAAGUAAAAAAUAAAAGGUUUCAGAAACUAAAAGAAAAAAAGGAGAGACAUUUUGCUCGCUCUCUUGUUUUCCUUAAAUAUGCUUGUAAGACCCAAAUUUCACCCGGACCCAUACCAGCAAAACAAAUACAGAAACCCAAUAACCUAGACCAAAACCCAAAGCCCAACAAAAUAAGCCCAAACCCGAAUCAGGCCUAAAACAAUUAGUCAAACUAGGGUUUCAGCUUUUCUGAAAGCCUAGUGCCGCCGCCGUCAUCACAUCAACAAGGCAAGUGGUGCGUUUUCCCUUUGCCAUCGACCUACCCACUGCCACCUGCUCCAUCAACGUCAAAUACCUGUAAACAAGCAAGAAGAAGAGGGGUAGCAACAACAGUAGAAAAUAAAAAAUUUUGUAACAAAUCAGCUAUAAAAAGCCGAAGGUAAUCUCUGAAAAAGGGUUUUUUUUAUGAACAUCAGAGCAUAAAAAGCAACAUUUUAGAGGUGAUCCUCUACUGUUCUUUCAAUAUUAGUUUGAUUUUUUUUAUUUGGUCUUUUUUUGUUUCUUUGUUAUUUAAAUAAUAAAAUAAAAAAUGGAAAAGGAGGACUCACCGGGGAACCCUUGUAACCACAUCGCCGGAUGGGGUCUACGCCACCGUUGGGGCCGCAUCCGAAAGGAGGCUGGGGCUCUCCUCUUGCGUUUCGGCGUUGAGAGGGUUCAACCCCUGAGAGCGCUGUGAAACGAAGGCUAAAAAGCCCAUUUUCUCCAUCGCUGUCCCCGGCCAUGGCGGUCGGGCGGCGGACGGACGGUGGAGCCUUAGGCCGAAAAGGGGUGGGGGUGAGAGAGAGAUGGGGAUUUUUGAAUAUUUUUUUAAAAAAAAACAUAGCAGAAAUGAGGCUAUUCAGAAAAUUUUGGUAUUUAAGGAGGCAUUAAAUGGCAUCGUAUUUGGACUUAGGGUUUAGAGGCCAAAACGACGUCGUUUUGGCCUCUGACCUGCGACCCGACCCGAUGGCCCUGAGGAUUUGUGUGUUUUCGUAAAAGGGGCUAUUUGCGCAAUAGGCCCCUUCGCCUUUGCAAAGUUUUCGAUGCGGUCUUUGUUGCAUUUUCUAAUUUUGGCCACAUAAUUUUGUUUCUUUUUUUAUUUGGUCCAUAGACCAUGCAUAGGUGCCUCCUUGGGGCGACGCCGUUUUGCCGACAUGGGAUAUUUUCCCAAUUAAUCCCCACUUUUCUUUGGGCAUUUGAAAUUGGUCCCUUUAUUUAUUUAUAUUUUAAUCUAUCCUGCUAAUUUAGUUUAAGCUACAAUUAAGCCCUUUUUAUCUUAAUUCUUUAUUUAUUCAUUUAUUUAUUUGUUUGCUUAUUUAUAUCUUUAUUUAAAACUUUGUUAUACACGUACAUACACACAUUUUUAUAAUAUACAUACGCACAUAUAUUUUAUGUUUUAUAUAUUUAUACAUACAUAUGUUUUUUAUAUUCUAUAACUUUAAAAUAUAUGUAUAUAUACAUGCAUUCUUCUAAUAUUUAUGUGUUUUACAUUUUAUAACUCCUAUAUAUAUACAUACAUAUAUUCUUUUUUUUUGUAUAUACUUUAUAAUCUUAAAAUAUACGUAUACUUAUACACAUUUUAUAAUACAUAUAUGUACAUAUAUUUUAUCAUUUAUAUAUACAUAUAUAUUUGUUAUAUUUUUGACAAUUUUAAAAUAUAUAUAUAUAUAUAUAUGCACACAUAUUCUUAUACUCUUUAUAGUUUUAUUAAAUUUAUUUAUUGCAUUUUUGUUUCACUCGAUGUUAAUUUAUUUAUUUGCGUAUAUGUUCGUUAUUAUUUGAAAGGAAUGCCUUAAUUAUUCAUCUAUUUAUUUGAUGUGAUAUGAUCGAUUUGUCUCUCCUAUUAUUUAUCUCGUUUACUAUGUCGUGCGUAUUAUUUAUGCUUACAUUAUCGUGUUCAUCAUUGUUUGCUACGCACAUUAAUGUCAUGCUCUACUAUUCGGAGUUAGAUUAAUUUCAAUGCAUAAAUUACGAUUUUUUGAAUAAGCAAAAUCUCGUGUUUAGAUUCGAGAAGGUUGUACCCUAACUUACGGGGUUUCGAUUUUCACAAUAAAUCUAAAUACAUAAAUCUUUUCAAACUCAAGUUUUAAACGAUCUUGGGAAUUAAGAAAAGAUUGUGUCCUAACUUACUGGGCAUGAUCCCUUUUUUUUUUAAUCCGAGAUAGCUAAAUAUCUUUUAAAUAAGUAAAUAUUUGACAUCUAUUUGCGCAUCGGGAAUUCAAGACAUUGUAUCCUAACUUACUGGAUAUAAUUUUCUUCCUCGAUUAACGUGAAAUAUGCCAUUUUCUCGAAAAUUUUUAACAUUUCAAUAAAGGAUCGUAUUUUUAAAAUUCUUCAAAAUUUUUAUUCUUCGACACUAAGACACUAAUUAAUCAACUAGGUACCAAUUUUUGGGCGUUACGAGGGUGCUAAUCCUUCCUCGUACGUAACCGACUCCCGAACUCGUUUUCCUGAAUUUCGUGGACCCAAAAUCAUUGUUUUAAUAAAAUUAAUUUGUUUAUUAAAAACAACCACUUUUUGAGGUGGCCCGAUCACACCUCAUCAAAAGAGAUUGGUGGCGACUCCCAUUUUCGUUUUCAUUUUCAAAAUCCAAGUCGACCCCGUUUUACAAAAGAAAUGGUGUCAACAAUGCUUUUGUUGCUUUUUGUUCUUUUGUAUAUUUGAAUUUUUGUAUUCAAAAAUGAAAAUUCCUAGAGAGAUACAAUGUUCUUGCUUGGCUUCUUUUAUAGCCAUUUUACACGAUUUUUUUUAUUUCUUGCGUUCACUGUCUUUUCUCUUUGAUGUUUUACAGGUGGCGGUGAAAGUGGAGGGCUUUGACCGACGUGACAGUGGAGAUGGCAACAGGCUAGGAGACCUAGGUGAGGCGCACCUAGGGUUAGGGGGUAUUAGGGUUUUUUGAUGAUUUUGGGCUAUUGGGCUUAAUUGGGUUUUAAUUUUUGUAUUUGGUUUUGUUUGAGUUUUAUUGGGCCUCGGGCAAAUUGGGCCUAUUACAGCUGCCCCUCUUUACUCAUUGUCGUGUAACGGGAAUGGAGCAAAAACUUCAAAAAGAGCCAAUUUUGCCCAAUUUAGCCAAAUCUUGACUUAUUGGUGCUUUUCUUCUUCGGUAGCUUCAUUCCAGUCCACUGCGUCUUGUUACUUCGAUCCAUUCCACUACAACUUCAGAGGAUGAGAUUUGUGGUUUUAGUCUGCUCCACUGCAAUGUUAGGGAGAUAAGACUUGUAACUCCAACCUGCUCCACUGCAAUUGUAGGGAGACCAGAUUUGCUGUCUUCAACCUGCUCCACUGCAACUUCAGAGAGAUAAGAUUCACUAUCUUCAGUCUACUCCACUACAACUUCAGGGAGAUAAUAUUUUAUAUGAUCUGCUCUACUGCAAUUUUAGAGAUAUUAGAUCUGCAAUUUAUAGCUUCAAUCUGUUCCACUGCACUUCAGGGGAAUAAGAUUUGCUAUCUUCAGUUUGCUCCACUGCAACUUUAGGGAGAUAAGACUUACUAUGGUAGAUUUAAUCCGACCUACUGCAACUUUAGAGGUAUAGGAUUCAUCGUUUUAAUCCGCUCCACUGCAACCUUAAGGAGAUAGGAUUAGUAGCUUCAAUCUACUCCACUGCAACUCUAUAAUUACAUCAAUCUCAAAACUCUAUAUUUUUAGAUUUAAUAGCAAAACAAAUAUACAUAAAUAUAAAAAUUUUGUAGGUCUAAUUAACUUUUGUAACUUCAAAGAACAUCAGCAUUAGCCAUUAUUUUAUUAUAAGAUAAGGCGAAAUAUGUGACUGCCGUGUAGGGCCAAACAACCAUUAUUUAAUGAUGAAGUCUUAAUUUUUUCUAUUUUCAAAUAAUACUUGGAAGUCCUCAUCUCACGUUAUUUUAUAUAUUGACAAAAAUAUUUAAAAAGUUUAAGUCCAAAACCUAGUUUGAAUUACAAUCAUUAAUAAUUAUUAUAAUAUUUAAAAUAAAAAUAAAUAAAUGAUAAUUAUUUAAUUUAGGGGUAAAUAUAUAUUAAAAUUUUCUUAUUAAUAAAUAUCUACUUAAUUUUUUAAAAGAUCCCUCAAAACCAAUAAUUUGAUCAUCAAACCCACCCUUUUAUUUUUCAAUAUAAUCAUAUUUAAUUUUUAUACUUUUUGUAUUCUAAAAUUUCAAUCUUAAUUCAAAAAAUAUCUGCUAAAUUUAUUAAUAAAAACAACAUAAUUUCGUUUAAUAUUAUACGUUAAUAUCACAUUAUGUGUGAUAAUAUAUUUAUUGUAUAAAAUUAUUUAAAAUUAAAAUAUAAAAUAUAAAAUCUAAAUUUAUAAAAAUAGAAACCUAUAACAUAUUUUAACUUAAUUCUAAUAUGAAAUUUCAACCGUUGUUUUGUGAUUAUUUGUUUUCUAGCCAUUGUUGAUUAAUUGCAUUUCAUAAAUAUAAAAAUUUGAAUUUUUGAUAUUUGUACUAUUUUUAUCAGUUUAGUCCCUAUAUUUUUAUUCUAUAUAUCCCGCUAUUUCAAUCUAAUUUUCUGUUAAAAAAAUUAAACCAAAAUAAUGACACGUUGUCACGUGUAAAAAGUUUAGAAAAUACUUGAAAAUUAAAAAGAUAUUAAAAAUUCAAAAAAAUUAUAAAAAAUUCCCCAAAUCCAAAAAUAUUAGAACUUAGAAUAUUUUAAAAUUUUAAAAAAUCAUAACUUUUUGAGUUUUAAUAUUUUUGUGGAAUUUAUAAAACUAUGAUUUUGUGGAAUUUAUAAAACUAUGAUUUUUUAAAAUUUAAUAAGUUUUUAGUUUUUCUAUAUUUUAAAAUUUUCAAGUGAAUUUAAAUAUUUUGACACCCGGGAGCAUGUCAUUGAUUGCUCUAUUUUUUUUUUUAACAUAAAUUUAAACUGGGUCGCGGGAAAGUUGAUAGAAAUUUUACAUUACGGUCCAAUUUAAAAGCAAAACAGCUCUGGUAUAUAAUAGAAUGCAAAGAAUUAAAGGAGUCAUAAGUCCAAAUACUAAAGAGAGUUGAGAGAAUCAAAAUGAGUGGCUUGAUGAAGCUUGUAAUUCUUGUCCCACGUUCUUUGUUCUUCGCAGCUUUAGUAAAGUUCCUUUAUGAUUACCUGUGGAGACCUCUCCGUAUACAGCAAAUGCUGAAUUCACAGGGAAUCAGAGGACCUCCUUACAGAUUCAUCCAUGGCAACAACAAAGAAGUUGCCAAAAUGAGACAAGAAGCGUUAAGCAAGCCUAUGGCUUUGAGGCAUGAUAUAUUUCCUAGAGUGCAGCCACAUAUUGACACCUGGAUCAACAAAUAUGGUAAGAUCCAUGCAUGUUUUUCACUAUGAUUUCUAAAUUCUAGUUCUAAGAAAAGAUUGACCCUUUUGAUUAUUUUAUUUGGUCAGGGAGGAAUUAUCUUUCUUGGGAUGGUGUUCGAGCUGAACUUGUGAUUUCAGAACCUGAACUAAUCAAAGAGGUUCUAAAAAAUAGUGAAAAAGCUUUUCCCAAAAGGAAGCUUACAGUUUUCCUUAGCAAGUUAUUAGGGAACGGGCUUGCGACAGUCGAGGGUGAAAAAUGGGAGAAGCGACGGAAGUUGGGGAAUUAUGCUUUUCAUGGGGAAAGCUUAAAGGUGAAACACUCGUAACAUGUGAAUUAGUUCUCUAAAUGUUGCUUACAUAUGUUGUUGCUUACAUGUUGAUGGAUUGUUUGUCCAGAACAUGACACCGGCAAUAAUUGCCAGCGUUGAAACAAUGCUAGAAAAGUGGAAAGGCUAUGUGGGCAAAGAGAUUGAAGUGUUUGAAGAAUUUAGAUUAUUAACUUCAGAAGUGAUAUCGAGAACAGCUUUUGGUAGCACUUACUUGGAAGGGCAGAAAAUUUUUUACAUGUUGAGCAAGUUGGCAAUAAUUGCGAACCGAAGUUUUUUCAAGACCAGAAUUCCUUGGAUCAGGUAUGUUCCCUCUAAGCUUAAUUUAUCCCUAAUUUAAAAUUGUUAAUUCCCAUGGAUUUCGGGGUUUUUUUUCCAUAUAUAGAGCUAACCUUGGUUUCCUUUCACAGCAAGUUAUGGAAAUCUGCUGAUAUUCUUGAGUCAGAAGAACUUGCAAAUGAAAUACAGGGUUGUGUGAUGAAGAUGAUUAAGGAAAGAGAAGACAGAGUUGUGAAUGGAGAAGCUGAUAGCUUUGGCAAUGAUUUUCUAGGAUUACUUGUAAAUGCUUAUCAUGAUUUGGAUGACAAAAACAUGCUUUCAUUGGGAGACUUGGUAGAUGAGUGCAAAACAUUCUACCUUGCUGGACAAGAUACUGUUAAUGGCUUGCUUGCAUGGACAGUCUUACUUUUAGCAAUCCACGGAGAUUGGCAAGAGAAAGCAAGAAGAGAGGUGAUUGACAUAUUUGGUAACCAAAAUCCACAUCCUGAAAGCAUUGUCAAACUCAAAAUUGUAAGUAAACUAUCAAACCAAUUCAAUAUAUAUCUUGUCUUCCAUGGAUUUGAAUAGUGACAGCAACAUUAAAUUAUGUGAUGUAAUCUGACAUAUUUCUAUUCUACAAACAGAUGACCAUGAUCAUUAAUGAAACUUUAAGAUUAUAUGGUCUACAAAAUGGCAUAAUAAGAGAAGUUGGAAGAGAAGUUCAGAUUGGAAAUCUAGUGUUACCUGCUAAUAUAGAUCUUUAUAUUGCAAAUGUUGUACCUCAACAUGACCCUCAACUAUGGGGAGACGAUGUCCAUCUUUUUAAACCAGAGAGGUUCGCAGAAGGAAUUGCCAAAGCUACCAAUUACAAUGCAGCUGCAUUUUGUCCGUUUGGAAUUGGACCUCGGUCUUGUGUUGGUAUGAGCUUUGCAACCAUGGAAACAAAGAUUGCACUCUCCAUGAUUCUUCAACGCUAUACCAUUUCUCUCUCCCCUGCUUAUGUCCACGCGCCAAUAUCUGUUCUCGGCAUUCAACCAGAACAUGGAAUUCAAGUAAUACUCAAAUCACUGGACAGCAGUGUUUAAUGUACAUGGUUGCUAUGAAUUCAGGGUUUAACCUUUCUGGUUUAUGAAUUCUUCUUUAAGAGAUUGCAUUUAAUAUGUUAAUUAAAUGCUUACUCUACAAUUUCGUGUUUUACAAAUCACCUACUUAAAUUGACUAUGUUGUGUCUUUUUAUUAAAAAAUAAAACUCUCCCACAACAAGAUGUUAUGCAUACCGAAUGGUGAGAACGAUGUAGAAGAUUCAAGAAAUGAGUAAAUUUUGGCUACACAAAUGAUAAUGUUGGCAUCAAAGGACGGAGAUACAACCCAAUACCUUCAAUAUUUUCCCUACCAUUGAUGGUAACAUUUGUGACUUCUUGAUUUUGAUGCGAGAGUUUUGUAAAUCAUUCCAUUCCUAUUAUUAUAUAAUACUACACAUGAUGCUACAAUUGUAAGGUCAACAAGUAUUACUAUUUGAAAGGUAGUACAUUUCAGACACGUUUUGUGAUUUUUAAAAUUCAUCAAAAUUAUAAUAUUUUUAUUUUAAGAAUAUAAGAGUGAGUCGUUGUAGAAUAUUUAAAAAAAAAACUUAAAAACACCAUUUAAGUCGAUUCUGAUGCAGAUUUUCGUUAAAGUUUAAAGAUUCCCAAUUGAUUUCUUAGGAGAUUAAAAUGAGUUUUUUUUUCCUUCGGUUAUACUGUAUCUAGGAUGUUUUUAUUUUCAAACAUGAACUAAUUUUCUAAACACCUAGGGAGAUGAACCCUAUGAUGAAUUCUGUUGUUUGAUUUUUAUUUUACGCAAUAAAUACUUAGUUGUUUAUUGUCAAUUAUGUGUGCCUAAUUCUUAGUUUAAUAUUUCCAAAUUAUUUACCUAAAUCAAAGGAGACAUAUACCCCUUUUAAGAGUAAAUCUUGUGUAAUUGAGUGGAGUUGCAUGUAAUCCUAGAAAUAGGACGAAAUAAACCUACCAGAUUAGAGUCAAAUCUAAUAAGGGAAUCCAUAGCACGAGUUAAUGCGAUAAUAGGAUUUUUAAUUAGAAAGAAAUUUCAAUUAAUCAAUCUAAAGUCAGUUGCUCUUACUCUCGAAAGAGAUAUUAGCAUAAUUUAAGGAUUUUUACAAAUCAAGUUACUAAGUAAAGAAAUUACGUAAUUUAGAUUGAUAGCGACCGAUGAAAGCUAGGUGAAUUCUUUCCUAGGUAUUGUUUCCCUUCUUGGUUGUUAAUAGUUUAUUUUCUUGAUUUGUUAUUUGUCGUUUUCGUUAAUUAAUUUAGUUAAUUUUAGUUUUUAAUCAAUCACUUAUUUAUUCAGUUAAAUAGUAGAAAAACGAUAAUUACUAGUACUUUUAGUCUUCCUGGAAACGAUAUCUUUACUCACUAUAGCUAUAUUAUUAAUUGAUAGGUACUGCACUUACCUCAAUCAAAUUUUUAGUUAACUCACGACGCAUCAUUUAUUAAAUAUUAAUUGAUAGGAGAUCAAAAUCAAAGUUUGUUUUUGGAAUUUUGGAUUACCCAAUCCAAGUUAAAUAUAAACCUUACGCAUAAAAAGUACAACCAACACAAAUAGUAACAUAUUUUAAUAAUAAUUAUAUUUAUCCAAAUAAUCAUAUUUCUUAAUUAUUAAUCAAUAGAUACAAUUAUACUUGUUUUAAGAAUUAAAAGAAAUAACUUUUCGCUAUAAUUUGGAACGUUUCCAUUUGGUCAAAUUUCGUAAUUAAACUAAGUUGCUGAAGUGAAGAAAGCGUUAUAGGCAGUGAUGUUUUGUGUACGUGAUUAUUGUUAGGUUUUAAUAUAAUACAAAAUAAUAUUCAUUCUAUUAAAUUAAUUUUAAAUAUUAAAAAUAAAAUAUUUUAAGAAAAAUUUGAAGUCAAAUUCAAAAAUGUUAAUUUUAUAAUAUAAACAAUAAAAUACUUAUAGAAAUCUUUCUACAUCUUAAUUUUUCUAUUUAAAAUUUCUAAAGUCAAUUUAGUGUUAGUCAGAUAUGUUUUUUUAUUUGUAAAGGAUCAUCUUCAAUUACACAUUCUUCUUUAUAUGUCUUCUUUUUGCAAGACUGGCAUUGAUUGUUUCUACUCUUGUACCAUUCGAGAUAACAUGCAUCACUUAAUAAAAUAUUAAUAGUUUUACAAAUUUCGGUGAUAAAAAAUCUCAAGUUAGGUGACAUAACUACAAAUUUUCAAAAAUAAAAGGACCAAAAGUGUAAUUUAUUUAAAAUUAUGAUUAUUUAAAUAGUAUAUAUAACGUACGUCUCUCCUUUUUAUCGAAUAUAGCUUGUUCACGUAAUAAUAUAUAAUGAUGAAUGAAUAUAUAAUUGGGAGCAUCUCUUAUAAUUUAGAAGUAAAAAGGACAAAAUAGCGUCAAACAUCAGGUUGUAAUUCAGAAGCAAGAGCAGAAAAAUGAGUGGCUUGAUGAAGUUUGUAAUUCUUGUCCCAUCUUCUUUCUUCCUCGUAGCUUUGAUAAAGUUCCUUUAUGAUUACUUGUGGAUACCUCUCCGUAUACAGCAUAUGCUGAAUUCGCAGGGAAUCAAAGGACCUCGUUACAAAUUCAUCUACGGAAUCAACGAUGAAGCUACCCAAAUGACAAAGGAAGCAUUAAGCAAACCCAUGGCCUUGACGCAUGACAUAUUUCCCAGAGUGCAGCCACAUAUUUACUCAUGUAUCAACAGAUAUGGUAAGAUCUGUGCAUGUUCUUUCACUAUGGUUUCAAUCUUCCAGUUCUAAGAAAAGAUGAACCCUUUUUGUUUUUUGUUUGAUUAGGGAGGAAUUUUCUUUAUUGGGACGGUGUCCGACCUGAACUUGUGAUUUCAGAACCUGAACUAAUUAAAGAGGUUUUGAAAAAUAGUGAAAAAACUUUUCCCAAAAGGAAGCCUACCAUUUUCAUUAACAAGCUACUAGGGAACGGGCUUGUGACAGUGGAAGGUGAAAAAUGGGUGAAGCAGCGGAAGUUGGCGAAUAACGUUUUUCAUGGGGAAAGCUUAAAGGUAAACCCCUCGAAAUAUAUGGAUUAGAUGUAAACUAAUGUAAAAGAAUUUUAUAUUAUUGGAGAAUUCUUUGGGCUGGACAUGAGACCAGGAAUAAUUGCUAGCGUUGAAACAAUGCUAAAGAAGUGGAAAGGCCAAGUAGGCAAAGAGAUCGAAGUGUUCCAUGAAUUUAAAUUAUUGACUUCCGAAGUGAUCUCGAGGACAGCUUUUGGUAGCAGUUACUUGGAAGGGGAGAAGAUUUUUGAAAUGUUGAACAAGUUGUCAAUAGUUCUGAGCCGAAAUCUUUCCAAUACUGGAAUUCCCUUAUUCGUGUAUAUUGCCUCUAAGCUUAACUGAUCCCUCAAUUUUUCCAAGAUAUAGAGCUAACCUUGAUUUGCUUUUACAGCAAGUUACAGAAACCUGCUGAUAUGCUAGAGGCAGAAGAACUUGCAAAAGGAAUACAGGACUGUGUGUCGAAGAUUGUGAAAACGAGAGAAGACAAAGUUGUGAAGGGAGAGGCUGAUAACUUUGGCAUUGAUUUUCUAGGAUUACUUAUAAAUGCCUACCAUGAUACGGACGAAAAUAACAAACUUUGAUUGGAAGACUUGGUAGAUGAGUGCAAAACAUUUUACUUUGCUGGACAAGAUACUGUUAAUUCCUUACUUGCUUGGAUGGUCUUACUUUUAGCAAGUCAUGGAGAUUGGCAAGAGAAAGCGAGAAGAGAGGUGAUUGAGAUAUUUGGUAACCAAUAUCCAAAUUCUGAAGGCCUUUCUAAACUCAAAAUUGUAAGUAAACUGUCAAACCCUUUCAAUACAUUGUGUAUACCCGGCAUUUAAAUCAAAGUCAUAAAGGCUGUUAGUACAUAAAAAAUCCUGGUCUAUACUCUUUAGUCUACUCUGACAUAUUCCUAUUCUGCAAACAGAUGACCCUGAUUAUUAAUGAAUCUCUAAGAUUGUAUGGUCCAGCAGUUGGCCUAUUGAGGAAAGGUGGAAGUGAAGUUCGGUUAGGAAAUCUAGUCUUGCCUGCUGAUAUAGAUAUUCUUAUUGCAAAUGUUGCACUUCACCAUGACCCUCAACAAUGGGGAGAUGAUGUGCAUCUUUUUAAGCCAGAGAGAUUCGCCGAAGGGGUUGCCAAAGCUACCAAUUACAACACAGCUGCAUUUUGUCCCUUUGGAUUGGGACCUCGAACUUGUGUUGGUACAACCUUCGCACUCAUGGAAGCGAAGAUUGCAGUCUCCAUGAUUCUACAACGCUACACCAUUUCCCUCUCCCCUGCCUAUGUCCACGCGCCAGUAUCUAUUAUCACCGUUAAACCACAACAUGGAAUACUCGAGUCACUGCAUCACGAUGCUUAAACUACACGGCAGCUAAGGGCUCAGCGUUCAACUCAGUUUGCUCAUGUAUUCUCAUUUUAAGAGAUGACAUUUCAUAGAUCGGGGGCUUUUGCAUUAGCAGCCACUUCCCUAUUUAUGCGCUCCUUCGUGCAUAAAUAACUGCAAAUAUCUGCUCAUUUCCAAGAUGGUAAGGCAUGCAAUAAAUGAAAAUGAAACACAAUUUAUCAUUUUAAUAAUUUAUAUUUUUAAUUUUUAAAUGAUUAAAUUAAAUUUUUAUUAUUUUUUAAUGUUCAAGUUCGAACCUAAUUCAUAUUGUAAAUGAGACUAAUUUUUUUACCUAAACUCAUUUUUUGGGCUUAAUAUUUUUACUCAAAAUAUAAAUAGAUGAUAAUUAUUUAAUUUAUGAGUAAAUAUAUAUAUUAAAAAUGUAUUAACAAUAGAAGUAAUUAAUAAAAAUCUACUUAAUCUUUCAAAAAAGCCUCUCAAAAUCAACUAUUUGACCAAUAUACUAAUCAUUCUGUUCUUUAAUUUAAUCAUUUUUUAUACUUUUUGUGUUUUAAAAUAGUAAAUUUAUUAACAAAAAUAACAUUGUUUCUUUUAAUAUUAUAUAAAAAUAACAAGUUAAUGUUAUAUUUCGCACGAAAAUUUUGAAAUUUUAUUUUUAACAUAAUUUUAGUAAGAAAUUCCUAUGGUUGUAUUGUGAUUAUUGUUUUUGCAGCAAUUGUUGACUAAUUUGCAUUUGUGAUGACGCAUGGUAGAUGGCUCCCAAUAAAAUAUUCAUAAAUAUAAAAAAAUCGAGUUUUAUUAAGAUAAUUUUAAUUGAUAAAUUAUGUGUAAAAUAUUAUUUUUAGCCGAAGUAGGUGGUAUGCCAACUCAUUUUAGGGACCACAUGACCCCACUAUCCCAAAAAUCUAUUAUUUUUAAAUUUUUUAAUGUUCAUAUAAUCAAGAUGAUGAUUGGAUUAUCAAAACAUAUAUAUACAAUUUAAUUGCAAGAGCACAGAGUGUUAUUGGACAACAGUUAGAAGAGGUGAGAUUCUUGCACGUGUCCUGUAUACUCGGUGGGACUAAAUUGGAGCCUACGUUUAUUAGUGCUUUGCUAGAAAGAUAGAGACUCGAGACACACACAUUUCAUUUUCUGUGCGAUGGUGAUAUGAUUACACUUGAGGAUGUGAUAUUAGAACUUGGUCUAUUGGUUGAUGGGCCAAUAAUUUAGGGAAAUUUGAAUAAAAAUAAUACCAAACAUAUUUAGUAAUUUAGGGAAAUUUUAAUAGCUUCACAUUCUUCAGCCUAUAAAUAGUGGAUUCAUGUCAUGAGUUGCAGGUCAAAGCUCAUGAUGAAUGCACACAAAGCGUCUUAUGGAGGUCACCAAUUUUGGUUGACACUAGAAAUGAAAAGAAAAUGUAUAUUUUUUAUAAAAGAAUACUAGGUGGCAUUUUUUGAUUGGCCACCAAUUUUUUUAAUGUUAAAAAUUGGAUUAAAAUUUAUAACGGAUAAUACUUUAAGUACUAAAUUAAGUUAAAAAAACUUUAAGUACCAAAAUUACUGGUGAAUUAGACAAAAAUUAGUGGUGAGAAUGGAGGUUUAGAGAGAAAUAAUGCUUCAUUAUUUUAUUCAUUCCCAAUAAGCAUGGAUAUGUAAUCAGUACAUAAGUUAAAGAAACCGCAAAUGCCAAAAUCACUCAACACGUAUAGCCUCCUAGUUCAGCUGAUGCCGACGCUUUUAAGGUCAACAAGGAAAACAAUUUGGCAAGUAUGGUACAUUUCAGCAGGAAAGUUGCACACGUUUCUUAUACACACUUAUGAACUAUUGUAUGGAAAAUGUCUCACGAAUACGUCCAACCUACUUUGAACGAGAACGAGGAUUGCAAAUGCAAUUUUGCUCCUUCACCACUUUUGGAGUGCUCCUAAUGAUGCUAUUAUGAAUGGGAAAAUGGUUAAAGUUUAGAGACGAAAAAUGAGUGCCUUGAUGGAGCUUGUAACUCUUGUCCCAUGUUGUUUCUUCUUCAUAGCUUUAAUAAAGUUCCUUUAUGAUUACCUAUGGAUACCUCUCCGUAUACAGCAUAUGCUGAAUUCACAGGGGAUCAAAGGACCUCCUUACAGAUUCAUCCAUGGCAACAACAAGGAAAUCGCCAAAAUGAGACAAGAAGCAUCAAUCAAACCUAUGGCCUUGACGCAUGAUAUAUUUCCCAAAGUGCAGCCACAGAUUUACUCCUGGAUCAACAAAUACGGUAAGAUCCAUGCAUGUUUUUCACUAUGGUUUCAAUCUUCUAGUUCAAUUAAAAGAUGGACCCUUUUUUUGCUUUUUGUUUGAUUAGGGAGGAAUUAUCUUUUUUGGAACGGUGUUCGAGCUGAACUUGUGAUUUCAGAACCUGAACUAGUGAGAGAUACUAAAAAAUAGUGAAAAAACUUUCCCGAAAAGGAAGCCUACCAUUUACCUUAGCAAGCUACUAGGGAAGGGGCUUGUGACGGUUGAGGGUGAAAAAUGGGCGAAGCAGAGGAAGCUGGCGAAUUACGCUUUUCAUGGGGAAAGCUUAAAGGUGAACCCCUCGAAACAUGUGAUUAGUUGUAAACUAAUGUUAAAGAAUUUUAUAUUGUUGGAGAAUUGCUUUUGCAGAACAUGACACCAGCUGUAAUUGCUAGCGUUGAAACAAUGCUAGAGAAAUGGAAAGGCCAAGAAGGCAAAGAGAUUGAAGUGUUCCAUGAAUUUAGAUUAUUGACUUCAGAAGUGAUAUCAAGAACAGCUUUUGGUAGCAGUUACUUGGAAGGAGAGAAGGUUUUUGCCAUGUUGAACAAGCUGUCAAUAAUUAUGAGUCGAAAUCUUUAUAAUACUAGAAUUCCUUUGAUCAAGUAUGUUCCCUCUAAGCUUAAUUAAUCCCAAGUUUUUCCUUAAUUGUGUUUUCCACCCCCAUGAAUUUAUUUUUCUCCUUAUAUAUGGCUAACAUUAGUUUUCUCUUCUAGCAAGUUAUGGAAACCUGCCGAUAUGCUAGAGUCUGAAGAACUUGCAAAAGAAAUACAAUAUUGUGUGAUGAAGAUGGUUAAGAAAAGAGAAGACAGAGUUGUGAAUGGAGAAGCUGAUAGCUUUGGGAAUGAUUUUCUAGGAUUACUUGUAAAUGCCUAUCAUGAUUCGGACAAAAAUAACAAGCUUUCAAUGGAAGAUCUGGUGGAUGAAUGCAAAACAUUCUAUUUUGCAGGACAAGAUACUGUUAAUGCCUUGCUUGCCUGGACAGUCUUGCUUUUAGCAAUCCAUGGAGAUUGGCAAGAUAAAGCAAGAAGGGAGGUGAUUGGCAUAUUUGGUAACCAAAAUCCACAACCGGAAGGCAUUGCAAAACUCAAAACUGUAAGCAAACUUUCUAACCAUUUAAGACCGCACGCAUUGUGUUACAGUCAAUAUUUUGUAGUUUCGACUCUUUCUACAUUGAUAUUCAUUGCUAAUAUUUACCACAAUUAAUUGCGAUAACAUCCAUCAUAUACAACACUGCCAUAAUUUAAAUCCCCGGUGUAUGCUAGCAUGAGUUUAGAACAUUAGAUUAUGUGAUGUUAAUCUUAUAUAUUCCUAUUCUGUAUACAGAUGACGAUGAUCAUUAAUGAAACUCUAAGAUUGUAUGGUCCAUCAAAUGGAAUGUUGAGAAGAGUUGGAAGAGAAGUUCAAAUGGAAAAGGUAGUCCUCCCUGCUAAUAUAGAUAUUCUAAUUGCAAAUGUUGCACUUCACCAUGACCCUCAACUGUGGGGAGAAGAUGUGCAUCUUUUUAAACCAGACAGAUUUGCGGAAGGGAUUGCCAAAGCUACCAAUUACAAUACGGGUGCAUUUUUUCCCUUUGGAUUGGGACCUCGAACUUGUGUUGGUAUGACCUUUGCAACCACAGAAACCAAGAUUGUUCUCUCCAUGAUCCUACAACGCUAUGCUAUUACCCUUUCCCCUGCCUAUGUCCACUCACCAAUACCUAUAAUCAGCCUUAAACCACAACAUGUAAUUCAAGUAAUGCUCAAGUCACUGCAUAGCGAUGCUUGAUGUUUCAUCGCUGUUGUUAUCAACAAUCUGAAAAAGAUGGGUAUGAAUGCAUUUAAUACGUAUUAUCGAGUUAAGGGUUAUGAAUAGUUUAGGCAUUAAAUAAAAAUAAUCUACAUAACCAUUAGGAAUUUAGAGUUUAAUAAAAAAAAUUAUUUCAUGUCUAUUAUCUCUUCUUUUACAACCACUUUCUCCUUUUCUCUAUCUAAUAUGUGAUCUAAUUGCAAAUACAUACCAACCAAGUCCCCUUACGUACACAAUUUAUUAUCAAUUUAAUCCCUUUAUUUAAUUUCCUUUUCCAUUCAACACAUUUAAGUUAAAACAGUAGUGCUAUUUAAAUAACACGUUUUAUAUUAAUUUUAAUUGGUAAAUAAAUUCAUUAUAAAUUAUUUUAUUACAUAAUAAAUCUAUAAAAAAAUUUAUUUUUAUGUAAUAAAUAGAUAUAUAUUUAUUGAAAAAUUAAUAUAAAUUAAUAAAAUUAACAUUACAAGAAAAAAAUUAUUAUAAAAUCAUUAUAUAAAAUAAAUAUAAUUUUAAUAAACUUUAAUUAUUUAUUACUUUCAUAAAUUUCUAAUAAAUUGAAAUUUUAUGAUAUAAGUCUAAUUUAACAUUCUUAUUUUUUGCUCUCUUUAUUCUCACUUUAUUAUAUUACUACAAUUAAACACAUAUUUCAUUAUUGAUUUUAAUCUCAUUUUUUCAAUAAUUUAUCUCAAUAGAUAAAUUCUGUCCUUCUUAGUCAUUUGCAGACCAUGGGCCUACUCACACUUCUCCCUCAUAGCUGAUGUAGUUGAUACAGUGAAGUUGGCCGGGCGGAGCUGGGUACAACAAAAAAUCUAAUUCCGAUUCCAUUGAAAAAUAGGUUUAAAAUAUUACACAAGUUUAAUUUGGAUAAAAAUAUUAAAAUUUAAGUUCGAUUCAGUCUGCCCAUAUUAUCUUUUAUAUAUAUUUUUAAAAUAUAAUAUAUCAAAAAUAUUAAAAAUAUUAAAAUAAAUAUUUUCUAAUAAAUUGAAAAUAAAUUUUAAAAAAAUUGUGUAUACUUAAAUAACACUAAGAUAAGUGCAACUUAACAAACAAAUAUGAAAUACCUCUAAAAUAGUAACAAAAGUAAUAAUAAAACCAGAGUUAUACAAUAUCCAACUAAUAACAAAAAAAAUAAUAGCAACAUAAUUAUGAAAUGGUAAUAAAAUAGUGAAAAAAAAAACAACCAGAAAAUAGCAAGAAAAUAGUAAAAAAAAUGGCAGUUUCUUUUUUGCAUAUUCGGGCCGAGCUCUGGCAAAAAAAAUCUUACUCGAGACUUAAUCCGUUUUCUAAACAUGCCUUCUGUUUUUGCCAAACUCAUUUUUCGAGCCUAUAUUUUUACCUAAACUCUCUCACUUUUCAAGCAGACCUUCAAAUUGAACUGAAUAACCCGACUCAUGAACAAAUUUAAAGUAAAGGCCACCAAAAAAAAUAAAAAGGCAAGUUUGAGACUUUAAGGAGAGUGAAUUGUUGAGGGAGGUAGAGGUUAUAUACUAAGACUAUUUCUCUUAAUCGUAAUUAAAAUAUUCAAUAUUAAUAACAGUGAUUAAUCCUAUAAUUAAUCAUGAAAAAUAUUUUUUUAUGAGCGAAAAUUCAACCUCAAAUCACUUAAUUAAAGGUUAAAAGAAUAAAAUCAAUAUAUUAUGAUUGGAUACAAAAAAGAUAAAGCUCACAAAUAUCCAAAUACAAAGUUGAAAUCCACAUCAUCAACAUAUAUCAUACAACGGAUCUUCAAAGGAAUGAAAAUAUUAGUAUAUAAUGAAUAAAGAAAUCAAGGAAACCCCAAAUGCCAAAAUCACUCUACACGUACAGCCUCCAAAUGCAGCUAAUGCCGACACUUGUGUGUUGAGAUAGUAAAUGAUGUCGACAAAUGUCAAAAAAAUUAUUUAUUGAUGUAUAUGUAACUAUUUUUUUGUCAAGGUAAUAGCUAUAAAUAGUUAUCGACUCUGUAUGAUCAUUACGCUUCAAUUGGAUUAUUCUAUUCUAUCUCUUAGAACGAAAAGAACUUAAAUCAAAAUAUUUAGUAGCAUGGCGAUACAUUUAUACAAAACUUCUACCACGGGCGCAUGCAAUGGAGCCGUAGUCAGUCAAGUGAAAUCUAAUCCACGAAAUAAUUUGAUCUAUGGAUAGUAUUGUUAUGGUAAAGGUUGUAAUGCUAGAGGAAUCAUUACCGCAAGGCAUAGAGGAGGAGAUCAUAAGUAGGGUGAGCAAAACUCGAUUCUACUCGAAAAAAUUGAAAAAAAAAUUCGAAUUUCGAGUUAAACGAAUCAAGUUAUUCGAGUUAAUCAAGUUAUUCGAAUCAAGUCGAAUUUUUUUUCGAAUUUCGAAUUCGAAUCAAGUUGAGUUUUCGAAUUCGAAUAAUUCGAAUAUCAAACUAUAAUAUUUUACAUUUUUAACCCAAACUCCUAAACCUUUUUACUUUUCCCUCAAAACUUUUACUCCUUCCCACUUUCCCCCCAAAACUUUUACUCCUCUCCCCUCCCAACCCCCCAAUCUAUCCAAAAUCAAUUUCCCACCAAAAUUUUACUCUCCCAUUUACUUUUUCUCAAAAUUUUACUCCCAAAAACCCUCAAAACCUUUUAUUUUCCCCCAAAAUUUUUAUUCCUUCCCACUUUUCCCCUAAAACUUUUAUUCCCUUCCCAUCCCACCUCCCAUCUACCCCAAACCCUCCCCCCUCCAAUUUUUUUAAUAUUUUCCCUCCAAAAUUUUACUCCCCCUAAUUACAUUCCCUCAAACUUUUAUUCCCUAAAACUUUUUAUUUUCCCCCUAAACUUUUACUUUUCACCCUUUACUCUCAAAUAAAAAAUCAAAAUUAUCCAAAAAAAUCACUAAACAUAAAUAGUAAUAAUUUUAUUUAUAUCUACUAUUUAUAUUAUUAAAUUAAAUUUCACAUUUUAUAUUAUUUAUAUUAUUGAAUUAUUUAGUCAUAUUGAAUAUUUAUAUUAAAAUUGAAUUAUUAAUUAUGCCAUAAAAUAUUCGUGUUAAAAUUUUAUAUUGGUAUCAAUUUCACAUUUUAUUUUUAAAAUAACUUUUAUUAAAAAAUCAUAUUUUUACAUUUAAUAUAUUUUUAAUUCUAAAAUAUAUAGUGACAAGAAUCUGAAGACAAUUGAAACAACUAAGCAAGCAAAGAAGCUAACCAAUAUAUAAAAAAUUAAUAAAUAAAUUAUGAGGUGAUGAAAGUUAAUAAAAAAUUUGAUUAAGGUGGACAAAUUUUAUUACGAUAGGUGACAGUGGUUACAAGAACCCAAAAUUAUUUUUUAAAUUUUAACUCGAACAAAUAUAUUCGAUUCGAUUCAAUUCGAAUUUCAUCUCACUCGACUCGAUUCGAGAAAACUUCAAAUAAAGUUAGGAUGAUAAAAUGAGAUUCGAAAACUCGAUUAACUCAAAAAUUUUCUAUUCGAUUCGAUCGAAUGCUCACCCCUAAUCAUAAGCAUCUAUACUGUAAAAUUAAUCUUCGACGAAAUGGAAAAGACAUAUAUAAUAAAAUCGUAACCAUAAAAUACAACCCUAAUCGAAAUGCAUAUAUUUAUCUCAAUAUCUCUCUCAAUUCGAUCACUCUGUACAAUACUCAUUCAUAAGAAAAUGUUUUAUAUUUUGGAACUUAUUUUAUUUGAGUUUUUAUUAGUUAUCAUGAUUUGAAGUGAGAAUUAAUACUCGUAUAUUUUACAUCAAUUCGCUAAUGAAAAUUAAAUAAAUCAUCUUUUUUAAAAGAAGCAACGUUUAAGAAUUUUAUAAAAUGAAAAAUCAUUAAAUUCUUUAAUAAAUAUUUAUAUAAUAUUUUAUAUUUCACACCAUAAUUGAUUAUAAUGAUCUAAUCGAACAUGUCAGUCGAUUAAUAUAUUUAAAUAAAUAAAUUUCUAAUUUAUUAUACUAAUAUAUAUAAUAUUAAUGAAAACAAAUUGUCAAUAGAUACAAAUUGUCUAAUGAUACAAAUCUAGGACUUCAAUUGAAGAUGAUCUUCAAAGAUCAUGAAAGUCGCAUUCUGCACCAGUUGACUUUCACAAAUUAAUUAGUUGUUUACACGUUCAAAGUUGCUUCUUUUUUUAAAAAAAUAAAUAAGUAAAUUUCUAAUUUUAAAAUGAUAAAAACGAAAAAUUAGUUGUCAAGACCCUACAAAUUGAAUAAAAUAAUUCUAAAUCUCUCUUUUACUAUGCAAUAAUUGUCAACCUAAACUCACCAUAAAUAGAAAGCUAAAGGAGCAUUUCAAUUCGUUGUUGAGAGAAGAAAAAAAUGAGUACCUUGGUGAAGCUGGCAAUUCUUCUCCCAUGUUCUUUCUUCCUCGUAGCUUUGAUAAAGUUCCUUUAUGAUUACUUGUGGAUACCUCUCCGUCUACAGCAUAUGAUGAAUUCACAAGGAAUCAAAGGACCUCCUUACACAUUCAUCCAUGGAAACAACAAAGAAGCUACCAAAACGACAAAUGAAGCCUUAAGCAAACCUAUGGCCCUGAGACAUGAUAUAUUUCCCAGAGUGCAGCCACAUGUUUACUCAUGUGUCAACAGAUAUGGUAAGAUUCCAUGCAUGUUUUGCACUAUGGUCUCGAUCUUCUGGUUCUAAAAAAAGAAUGACCUUUUUUUAAAAAUUUGAUCAGGGAGGAAUUAUCUUGCUUGGGACGGUAAGCAACCUGAACUGGUGAUUACAGAACCUGAACUUGUCAACGAGGUUCUCAAAAAUAGUGUGACAACUUUUCCGAAAAGAAAGCCUACUUUUUUUCUCACUGGGAUAUUUGGGAACGGGCUUGUGACAGCUUUGGGUGAAAAAUGGGUGAAGCAACGGAAGUUGGCGAAUUAUGCUUUUCAUGGGGAAAGCUUAAAGGUAAAACUCUCCAAACAUGUGAAUUAGUUGUCUAAUUAAUCUUCUUAUAUGUUGGAGUAUUGAUUGUGCAGAACAUGACACCAGCUGUUAUUGCUAGUGUUGAAACAAUGCUAGAAAAGUGGAAAGGCUAUGUAGGCAAAGAGAUAGAAGUGUAUCAUGAAUUUAGAUUAUUGACUUCGGAAGUGAUAUCCAGAACAGCUUUCGGUAGCAGUUACUUGGAAGGGGAGAAGAUUUUUGACAUGUUGAACAAGUUGUCAAUAAUUAGGAGCCGAAAUCUUUUCGAAACUCGAAUUCCUCUGAUCAAGUAUGUUCCCUCUAAAAGCUUAUUUGAUCCCUCGGUUUUGUCAUAUUACUGACCUUGGUUUACUUUUACAGCAAGUUAUGGAAAUCUGGUGAUGUGCUAGAGUCUGAAGAACUUUCAAAAGGAAUACAAGAUUGUGUGAUGAAGAUUGUUAAGAAAAGAGAAGACAAAGUUGUGAAUGGAGAAGCCGAUAGCUUCGGCAAUGACUUUCUAGGAUUACUUGUAAAUGCCUAUCAUGAUUCGAAUAAAAAUAACAGGCUUUCAACGGAAGACUUGGUGGAUGAGUGCAAAACAUUCUACUUUGCUGGACAAGAUACCGUGAAUUCCUUACUUGCAUGGAUAGUCUUCCUUUUAGCAAUUCAUGGAGAUUGGCAAGAGAAAGCAAGAAGAGAAGUGAUUGAGAUAUUUGGUAACCAAAUUCCGAAUUCUGAAGAGAUGUCUAAACUCAAAAUCGUAAGUAAACUGUCAAACCCUUUCAAUAUAAUAUUUUGUUGCAGCUAUUAUUUAAUUUUUUUAAUGCAAUGUGACACGUUCCUUUUCUGGAAACAGAUGACCAUGAUUAUUUAUGAAACUCUAAGAUUGUAUGGUCCAUCAAAUGGCAUGAUGAGAAGAACUGAAAGUGAUGUUCAGUUAGGGAAGCUAAUCUUGCCUGCUAAUCUUGAUCUUCUAGUUAUACAUGCUGCACCUCACCAUGACCCUCAAUUAUGGGGAGAUGAUGUGCAUCUUUUUAAACCAGAGAGAUUCGCAGAAGGGAUUGCCAAAGCUACCAAUUACAAUGCAGGUGUAUUUUGUCCCUUUGGAUUGGGACCUCGAAAUUGUGUUGGUAUGAACUUUGCAACCACGGAAACGAAGAUUGUGCUGUCCAUGAUUUUACAACGCUACACCAUUUCCCUCUCCCCUACCUAUGUCCACUCACCAAUACCUUAUAUCACCGUUCAACCACAACACGGAAUUCAAGUAAUACUCGAGUCAUUGUAUAAUGAUGCGUAAUGUAACAUAGCUGCUAAGAAUUCCGAGUUUAAUUUAGUGAAAAAAUUAUUUUAUAAAAUUUAUAUGUCAACAAGUAAUUAUAUAAUGUGGUUAACAUAAGCUCCUUUCAAUUGGGAACCAACAAAGCUACCAAGUCACCAAAAUUUUGCUUAACAAAGUCUAACGAUUUAGCUUUUACUUUACUAAUAACAACACCCAACUUAUAACCACCACUUAUAACCACCAUUAAAGUAUAUGUAGAUAACAGAAGUAUUAUUUAAUAAUAAUUUGUUAAUAUUAUUUAAUAAUAUUUGACGUUGUUACAAUGUGUCGAGGGAACUGCCACUUCCUUCACCACUACGACAAAAUAGCUUGUCAUAUUUGAAAAUUUAACAAUUUAUUGAAUCGAAUCUUUGGACUAUGUUAAUUUUGUGGAAUGAUUUUAGCCUAUCAAUGAGAAUCAAUUCACUAAACAUAUUUUGAGAAUUGUAUCGGAUUGAGUACAUCAAAUCCAUUGGAUCAAAGAUGUUUGAUCGAAUCAAAAUUGGAAGACUUAUCUACCAACAAUCCAUUUUACUUUAGUUGUUAAUAUUAUAUUGUAUUCGACUAUUUUAGACAUACAAGAUUUUACUAAUUCAUCUUCAUUUGUCGAAAGAAGUCUAUCCUCAAAUUUCAACAAAUUUCCACCACUAGCCAUUUUCACAGUAUCUGAAUUUUAUCUCCACACUUUUUUUUAACAUUAAUCUUAUUAUACUUAAAACUAUCCAUAGUCCCUCCUCAACCCUUAGAUAGAAGGAUAAUACACUUCAGUGCACUCGAACCCACGCCCUGCUGCACUAACAACAAUACCGAUGCUAAUCGAGUUAAGACUCUGACCACUAAAAUAUCACCAUAAGCAUAAAUCUAUAAUCAAAUUUAUAAUUAAAAUACAAGUUUUUUACAAAUACUUUAUAAAAAAAACCAUACUACAAAAUUAAAACAAAGAAAAAGAACACAUAAAAAUAAGAAUAUAAUAAUAUUUAAACAACUAGUAAAAAAAAAUAUAUUUUUCAAACACUUAAAAAUAAUAUAUAUCAAUAUAACUACAAUAAUAUAAAUAAUAAUAAACUAACACUAAAAAUAUUUUUUUUACUUUAAAAAAAUCUAAUGUCUUAAAAAAACCCUAAAAAACAUAAAAGUAUAAAAAAGUAUAAAAUGCACAAAUCAUAAAAAUAUCUAACACUUAAGGUAGAUUUUGAUACAUCUAUAUAUAUGUUGUAAUUGAGAAAAUAGAAAACGAGAGAAGAAAAUGUUGGGAGAAUGAGCAGUUUGUGCAUUUAUAUAUACAAAAAUUUAAAGGAUUAAAUUGCAUAAGAAUUAAAACUAUUAUUCAACAAUAAUAAUAUACCCAAUUGCUUACUUACCACAAUUAUUUGGCCUGCAUGAUUAUUGUUUCAAGACCAUGCAUGCUUGUUGCCACCUUGCUUUUAUAUUUCUGCCAUGCAUGCUUGCUGCCAUUAUUUUUCUGCAUGCCAUGGUUGUUGUCACCCUUGCUGCCUCUUAUUUUUCUACCUUGCAUACCAUUAGAAUCCAAAUGAAGUGCGUUUUAAAAAUCUCUUACAUUUAAUCUUUACAGGCACCUGUCGAAAUCAAUCUUUAAUCCCAAUUUCAUUUACUCUUUCAAGACUGUCCCUUUAGAGAUUUUAUGAAGAGAAGGAAAAACAAUGGAAUUGUAAAGAUGGCACCCAUAGAAACCUUAGAAUGGUGGACGGUGCAACAGGGAUCGAGCGGGUCUCCCUUGUCAAUGAUGAAAUCACCUAUAUACUCUUUAAAGAUUUUAGGGCUCUUAGUUUCGUCCCCAGAAGAAAAAGAAAGAAAAGUAAACAGAUUGGUUUUAAGGUAUUGGGAAAGUCGAAUUAGAAUUUAAAUAUAUGUUUGUUUUCUUUAAUUUAACUUUUUUAUUUUUAAAUUUUAAUAUAUUUUUUAUUUUUAAAAUUUUAAUAUUUUUUAUAUAUUUUUUAAAUAAUAUUAUGACCUCUUUAUGAAAUCACCAUUUUCACAUGUCACGAUCUAAGAUUGUCACGUGUCUUGAAUAUCAAAAACAUUUACAAAAUAAAAAUUCAAGACCUAAAUUGAGAAAAAAAAUAUAAAUAUUAAUUUAGGAGAAAGUGAGAAAUACGAAGGCCAAAUAAGCCUAAUUAAUAUGAUUCCAUACAUCUUGAGGUUAAAAUAAAAUUCAAGGUUUACUUAAUUUUUUUAUAAAAAUUAUGUUAGGUCUAGUUAAAAUUUAAAAAAAAAUUAAAAGGUUUAAUGAGAUUGACAAAAAUUUUAGAGGGAUCUAUUAAAAACAUUGAAAGGUUUAAUGAGAAAUUCCAAAUUUGGGGCCUGAUUUAAUUUUUUUAAAAUUAAUGGUCUAAAAUGAAUUUCAAAAUUUUUCUAAGGUCAGGUCCUGCUUCGCAUUGGGUUGAUUAUUUAUUUUUUAAAACUAUAAAGAAAAAUUUAAAUGUUAAAAUAUGAUCUAAGACAUACACUUCGUAUAUUUGAAUUUUAGUCUUCAUAAUCUUAUUUUUAGAAAUUUAAUCAACUUCUUUUCGGAUUUAAAAAUUUAGGAUCUAUUAUUACCACUGUUAAUAUUCUUCUAUUAAAUUCAUUGGUGUGACGUUUUGGAACUUAGUUUCCAUACUCUUAUUUUAAAUAAUUUAAUUAUCUACUUUUCAGAUUUAAAAAUUCAGGACCCAUUAUUAUCACCGUUAAAAUUCCUCUAUUAAAUUCAUUGGUGUGACGUUUUGGAAUUUAAAAUAUAUAUAUAUUCACUUGGUCAUCAUGUAAUAAUAAAAAUAAAAUUGAAAAUACUAAAUAGAAUUUUUUUUUUCUUAAAAACACUCAUUCAAACUUUUCAGGAUGAAAUAAUUUUUUGGUGGAAAUAGCAUUCUUAAGAAACAUUGACAUCAACAUUUUGAUUGAAAUAGAUCAUAAUAUUAAUGAUUUAGACUCAAUAUUAACAUUAUAAAAAUAGAUGGGUCAAAUUAUGUUAAAAUUUAAAAUAUAUAUUAUUUUUUAAGUUUCAACAUAGUAUAGGGGUCAAACUGAAAAUUGACUAUAAUAUUAAAAAAAAAAAACCCCAAGGCAAACUUAAAAAGAAAGGUAAAACCAUGCUCAGUCUCUAAAACUGUUAGAGUAUUAUUUCAAUUAUACGUAACCAUUUAACAUUUUAAUAAAAAAUUAACUAUAUUAACUAUUCGAACUAAUUCAUAACGUUAUAAAAAUAUAAAUAGAAAAUCAAAUUAGAAAUUAAAGUAUAUAGAUUAAAUUUCAAAUUUAAAAAUAAUAGAACCACAAAUAAAAUUUAAUCAUUUUAUAAUAAAAAAGGGUGAUGAUGUUCGCCUGUGUUAACAAAAAAGUCCACAUAUAUAUAUACAAUCAACCCUCUUUAUAAUAACCGCCCUUAAUAACAACUAAAUUUUAUAGUAGAACCAAUUUUUUAUGUUUUAUUUUAACAUUCUAUAACAAUUUUUCACGUGUAACAACAAUAACCAUAGUUUUAAAGUACAUUAUUUAUUAAAUUUUUAAGUAAAAUUAGAGUUAUUUCAUAUAAACGAGCCUAUUAACUAUAAUUUAUUAAAUAAAAAUUAUCUUAACUAAAAUAUUUAAAUUCCACAUGAAAAGCCUAUUACUCAUAUUUUAUUAAAUGAAAAUAAUUUUUCAAUAAAUGAAAUGAAAUAUAUCUAUUGAAUAAACUAUCAAGUUUUCUCGUUCUUUUCUUACAAUAAUUUCUAUUUUUUUCAUUAUAUGAAUUAUUGCUGCCUCUCUAUAAAAAAUAAAAUUUUGACAGAUAAAUAAAGUUAUUAUAGAAAAAAGUAAUAACGGAACCAAAUACCUUAUCGAUUAAUUUUAAAAUGAUAUGCACCAGAAAAUAAUAUCCAAAGAACCUACAAAUUGGCAGGCAAAUUAAUAAAUAAAAUAAUUCUAAAUAUCUCUUUUACCAUGCAAUAAUUGUCAACCUAAAUUCACCAUAAAUACAAAUGCUAAAGGAGCAUUUCCAUUCAUUGUUGAGAGACGAAAAAUGAGUGCCUUGCUGAAGCUUGCAAUUCUUGUCCCAUGUUGUUCCUUCAUCGUAGCUUUAAUAAGGUUCCUUUAUGAUUACUUGUGGAGGCCUCUCCGUCUACAGCAUAAGAUGAGUUCACAGGGAAUCAGAGGACCUCCCUACAGCUUCAUCCAUGGAAACAACAAAGAAGCUACUAAAAUGACAAAGGAAGCAUUAAGCAAACCUAUGGCCUUGAGGCAUGAUAUAUUUCCCAGAGUGCAGCCACAUAUUUACGCAUGUGUCAAUAAAUAUGGUAAGAUUCCAUGCAUGUUGUUCUCACUAUGGUUUCGAUCUUCUAGUUCUAAGAAAAGAUUGACCCUUUUUUUUUUUUUUGAUUAGGGAGGAAUUAUCUUUCUUGGGACGGUAAUCGACCGGAACUAGUGAUUACAGAACCUGAACUUGCCAACGAGGUUCUCAAACAUAGUGUGACAACUUUUCCGAAAAGGAAGCCUACUGUUUUUGUCAGUAGGAUAUUUGGGAAUGGUCUUGUGACAGCUUUGGGAGAAAAAUGGGUGAAGCAACGGAAGUUGGCGAAUUAUGCUUUUCAUGGGGAAAGCUUACAGGUAAAAACGCUCUAAACAUGUGAAUUAGUUGUCUAAAUCUUUCUUAUAUGUUGGAAGAUUGAUUGUGCAGAACAUGACACCAGCUGUAAUUGCUAGUGUUGAAACAAUGCUAGAAAAGUGGAAAGGCUAUGCAGGCAAAGAGAUGGAAGUGUAUCAUGAAUUUAGAUUAUUGACUUCGGAAGUAAUAUCCAGAACAGCUUUCGGUAGCAGUUACUUGGAAGGGGAGAAGAUUUUUGACAUGUUGAACAAGUUGUCAAUAAUUAGGAGCCGAAAUCUUUUCGAAACUCGAAUUCCUCUGAUCAAGUAUGUUCCCUCUAAAAGCUUAAUUGAUCCCUCGGUUUUGUCAUAUUACUGACCUUGGUUUACUUUUACAGCAAGUUAUGGAAAUCUGGUGAUGUGCUAGAGUCUGAAGAACUUUCAAAAGAAAUACAAGAUUGUGUGAUGAAGAUUGUUAAGAAAAGAGAAGACGAAGUUGUGAAUGGAGAAGCCAAUAGCUUCGGCAAUGAUUUUCUAGGAUUACUUGUAAAUGCCUAUCAUGAUUCGGAUGAAAAUAACAGACUUUUAAUGGAAGACUUGGUGGAUGAGUGCAAAACAUUCUACUUUGCUGGACAAGAUACUGUUAAUUCCUUACUUGCAUGGAUAGUCUUCCUUUUAGCAAUUCAUGGAGAUUGGCAAGAGAAAGCAAGAAGAGAAGUGAUUGAGAUAUUCAGUAACCGAAUUCCGGAUUCUGAAGGCAUGUCUAAACUCAAAACUGUAAGUAAACUGUGAAACUCUUUCAAUACAAUAUCGUGUUGCAGUUAUUUAUCUUCUUUAAUGUAACCUGACAUAAUCAUAUUCUUCAAAUAGAUGACUAUGAUUAUUUACGAAACUUUAAGAUUGUAUGGUCCACCAAAUGGCCUACCAAGAAGGGUUACAAAAGAAGUGCAGUUGGGAAAGCUAGUCUUGCCUGCUAGCAUAGAUAUUUUGGUUCAAAAUAUUGCACCUCACCAUGACCCUCACAUGUGGGGAGAUGAUGUACAUCUUUUUAAACCAGAGAGAUUUGCAGAAGGGAUUGCCAAAGCUACCAAUUACAAUGCAGGUGCAUUUUGUCCCUUUGGAUUAGGACCUCGAAAUUGUGUUGGUAUGAACUUUGCAACCAUGGAAACGAAGAUUGUGCUCUCCAUGAUUCUACAACGCUACACCAUUUCCCUCUCCCCUACCUAUGUCCACUCACCAAUACCUUAUAUCACCGUUCAACCACAACACGGAAUUCAAGUAAUACUUGAGUCACUGGGUAAUGAUGCUUAAUAUGCAAAGCUGCAAUCCAAUAAAUUCAUCUUUCACCUUCAACUUGUUUUGAGUUUUGAUGUUUGCGCAAAUGAUCCCGAUGAGUUUAGAGAAUGUUGGGUUGGGAUGGCUUGGGUUAGAAUGUUUUCUACUUAUUGGGUUUGUUUUUUUACUGUAUUUUGUUAUAGUUUGAGUUGAAAUUUCUCUAAAAUAAGAUUAUCUACUAAAAUAAUAUGAAAUCUACAUGA
Molecule: long non-coding RNA, 32936 nt
Filed under: Gossypium raimondii (Peruvian cotton)
Lineage: Eukaryota; Viridiplantae; Streptophyta; Magnoliopsida; Malvales; Malvaceae
Description: long non-coding RNA (GRAI_LNC003405)
Source: RNAcentral